AAAAUUGUUUACUGCAUUUAACUACGAUGUCUGACGAAAAUGAAAAUCUCAGUAAUGCGGAGACACAGUUAUUGCUGAGAGUACGUUAGAAUAUGGAGGACGAGUUUAAAUCGGGUAGAAG
Molecule: long non-coding RNA, 121 nt
Filed under: Bactrocera tryoni
Lineage: Eukaryota; Metazoa; Arthropoda; Insecta; Diptera; Tephritidae
Description: uncharacterized LOC120780935
Source: RNAcentral